RNAcentral lists this telomerase RNA (1307 nucleotides) under Saccharomyces cerevisiae YJM1342. RNAcentral's name for it is "TLC1". The stretch from base 11 to 1174 matches the Rfam family "Saccharomyces telomerase". The record is from RNAcentral. Lineage: Eukaryota; Fungi; Ascomycota; Saccharomycetes; Saccharomycetales; Saccharomycetaceae.
AAUAAAACUAGAGAGGAAGAUAGGUAACCUAUGAAAAUGUCAAUGGCCGUUGCGUUUGCUUAAUCGUAUUUUUUUUUUUUCAGUCCGUGUUUUUUGUACAUUCUACGUUUGAGUUUUCCAUCAUGUAGGCCUCAGAAAUUUGGUAGGCACUCGAUGGUGAAGAGAUAGUGUCGGAUUUCGGAUUGAUCUUUCAGUUGAUAGCCUGCUGCUCUUUUCUUUUUCGAAGAAUUUCGAGUAUGCUGGUGUCAGUGUAGAUGCUUGUGUGUGCGCGAUUUGUGGUUUUUUAUUGUGUUUCUACUUAUAGAUGGCUAAAAUCUGAGUUUAAAAAAUGCAAAAUGCAAACCGUAAAUUCUUAAACACUGCCAUUGCAUUUAGUUGCUAAAGCAGUGUUUUUGAACUUAUUCCUGUCACUCAUUCUUCGUACCAAUCCUCUUCUCGACCUAACCUUUUAAUUACCAUGGGAAGCCUACCAUCACCACACCCACACACAAAUGUUACAGCUGAUUGUUUAUUAGCAAAGUUUGCACGAGUUCGCUGUUUAUUUUUUUCUCGUUUUCUUAUACCUAGUAUUUUUCCUGACACUGUUUAAGGUGACGGAAAAAAAGGAGUUUAAGUUAGAUCUGCGAACAGACGGUGCUAAGCGCUGUCACUUUAUGUCUAUCUUAUCGUUAACUCUGGAAAAAGAAAAAGGAAAAAGAACGUCAGGGAACAUGAGUAUAUAUAGAAAUGGUUUAUUCUAGUUUUUUCCGUUUUUUCAGUAGAUUUUUGCCUUUAAAAGAAUAAAUCCCACUACAAAAAGGUAAAAUAAAAAAUCUAUUCACUGAACUUACUGAUGAAAUUUUCAAGUGUGUCCCGUACAUCGAACGAUGUGACAGAGAAAAAUACGAGUAGGUAAACAAGCCAAAAGGCAAGGGUGUCCUUUCUUAAGCAUCGGUUCGGUUUGCGGGCGAUCAGUAACUGAACAAUGAUACAAGAUCAAGAACGUAAUUUGAGAUUUUUCAAGAUGGUUUUUUUAGGUAUCUAUUAAAACUACUUUGAUGAUCAAUACGGUAUUUUUGUCGCAUUAUUUUCCAAGCGGAGGGAACCGUGUGUUCAUUUUAUGAAUCUUGGUGUUGUAUUCACAGCUACUUCUCCUAAUGCCUUCGAUGCAUUUAGAUAAUUUUUGGAAACAUUUUUUUUCUUGAUGUAUAUUUUUUGUAUUGUAGAAAUCGCGCGUACUGUACUUGUAUAUCGCUUUAUAAGCGCUUUUAAUUGAUUGUUCAUGACGAGGAUAGGCGGAUAGGCGGAGGUAUGCCUCUUAAUAUUUA